This 775-nucleotide ribosomal RNA is filed under the name uncultured Neocallimastigales. RNAcentral's name for it is "partial large subunit ribosomal RNA". It matches the Rfam family "Eukaryotic large subunit ribosomal RNA", at positions 26 to 635 of the family's 3401-position model. The record is from RNAcentral. Lineage: Eukaryota; Fungi; Neocallimastigomycota; Neocallimastigomycetes; Neocallimastigales.
CGCAUCUGUGCAUGCAGCAUAUCAAUAAGCGGAGGAAAAGAAACUAACAAGGAUUCCCCUAGUAACGGCGAGUGAAGCGGGAAGAGCUCAAAUUUGAAAUCUUAAAGGGUUUCCCUUUACGAAUUGUAGUUUAAAGAAGUGUUUUCUGUUGAGGUUUUGGUAAAAGUUCUUUGGAAUAGGACAUCAUAGAGGGUGAGAAUCCCGUAUCUUGACCUUUACUUUCAACUUUGUGAUACACUUUCAAAGAGUCGGAUUGUUUGGGAAUGCAGUCCAAAAUGGGUGGUAAAUUUCAUCUAAAGCUAAAUAUUGGCGAGAGACCGAUAGCGAACAAGUACCGUGAGGGAAAGAUGAAAAGAACUUUGAAAAGAGAGUUAAACAGUACGUGAAAUUGUCAAAAGGGAAGCGUUUGACACCAGUGUUGUUUUUCUGAAAAUCAAUUAAAGAACUGUUUAUGCUAAGCUGUUUAGACUUUAUCAGCUAUCUGUUUAGUUUUGAGCUUUUCUUUAAUGCACUUUUCAGUUAACAAGUCAACAUCAAUUUCUUUUGCUGUAAAAAAGCUUGAGGAAGGUGGCUUGAGAUUCGUCUUAAGUGUUUAUAGCCUCUUGCCUAUGCAGUCGGAGAGAUUGAGGUCUGCAGCGUAGAUCCUUCGGGGCUAAAUGCAUUUGUGCUAAGUUAUAGCAUUUUAUAGACAACUUGUUGACUAUGAUUUGUCUUGUAGCUUACUCGCUUAUGUUAUUUUACCUACGCUUAGGAUGUUGAACGCGCACAGAGUCUC